Brienomyrus brachyistius is the source of this 599-nucleotide long non-coding RNA. RefSeq lists it as uncharacterized. Lineage: Eukaryota; Metazoa; Chordata; Actinopteri; Osteoglossiformes; Mormyridae. The transcript has 4 exons. The record is from RefSeq and is a predicted model, not a curated record.
UUAAAUCAUGGAGUUUAUGCCUUUUGGACAAGUGGAGUCAGGUUUCGGGUUACUGUGCUGAGUGUGGGAAACGGCUGUAAGUGCAGCUUCUCAUAACGACGACAAUAAAAUGGAAGAAUAUCCCUGCUAGUAAGGCUAGCUGGUCCACUGGUUCCACAUUUGGAGCGGCUUGCAGGAAGGACGCAUGUGAUGCCCUUUUCCCGGGAUGUUUGCGUCGCAGCAGGCGAUGGGAAGAACUCGCUCUUCACCCUGUCAGGGAUGUUGACCUUCACUGUCAGAAUCUUCAGAUUCUCCCCUCGGUUAAUGGCCAGGACCUGCAAGGCAAACGUAACCCGCUGAGACAGACGGAGGCAGCCGAGGGCUGUCUUGGACAGAGAGGACUGAAGCGUCACCGGGUUCUGGUCACACCUGCCAGACAUGCUGUUUUAACGGACCUGGAGAGUUUCACCAUUUCAGGGAUGGCGACAAGAUAAGGUCUGAUGCGUGUCAGAUGCACGGAGCUUGACGAGCAUCAGUGGCGCUAGUAGGGUUCUCACCACGUGGUCCAGCUCUUCGGCACCCGUACAGUUCUUCAGAGAUUCCUCCAGCUCAGCAGUCAG